AAAUAGACCCUGAAACCGUAUGCUUACAAAAAGUAGGAGCCUCGUAAGGGGUGACUGCGUACCUUUUGUAUAAUGGGUCAGCGACUUACAUUCAGUGGCAAGGUUAACCGAAUAGGGAAGCCGUAGAGAAAUCGAGUCCGAAUAGGGCGAAUUAGUCGCUGGGUGUAGACCCGAAACCAAGUGAUCUAUCCAUGGGCAGGAUGAAGGUGCCGUAACAGGUACUGGAGGUCCGAACCGACUAAUGUUGCAAAAUUAGCGGAUGACCUGUGGAUAGGGGUGAAAGGCUAAACAAACUUGGAAAUAGCUGGUUCUCUCCGAAAACUAUUUAGGUAGUGCCUCAAGUAUUACCUGCGGGGGUAGAGCACUGUUUUGGCUAGGGGGUCAUGGCGACUUACCAAACCAAUGCAAACUCCGAAUACCGCAGAGUACAGCUUGGGAGACAGAGCACCGGGUGCUAACGUCCGGACUCAAGAGGGAAACAACCCAGACCGCCAGCUAAGGUCCCUAAAAUUGGCUAAGUGGGAAACGAAGUGGGAAGGCUAAAACAGUCAGGAUGUUGGCUUAGAAGCAGCCAUCAUUUAAAGAAAGCGUAAUAGCUCACUGAUCGAGUCGUCCUGCGCGGAAGAUGUAACGGGGCUAAGCCAGUUACCGAAGCUGCGGAUUUGCAAUUUAUUGCAAGUGGUAGGAGAGCGUUCUGUAAGCCUGUGAAGGUGCGUUGUAAAGCGUGCUGGAGGUAUCAGAAGUGCGAAUGCUGACACGAGUAGCGUUAAAGGGGGUGAAAAGCCCCCUCGCCGUAAGCGCAAGGUUUUCUACGCAACGUUCAUCGGCGUAGAGUGAGUCGGCCCCUAAGGCGAGGCAGAGAUGCGUAGUUGAUGGGAAACAGGUCAAUAUUCCUGUACCGAUGUGUAGUGCGGUGUGGGGACGGAGAAGGUUAGCUCAGCAGACUGUUGGAUAUGUCUGUUCAAGCCUGUAGUCGUGCCUGGUAGGUAAAUCCGCCGGGCUUAGAUGAGGGGUGAUAACGAGGAUGCUUGCAUCCGAAGUGAGUGAUACCCUGCUUCCAGGAAAAGCCACUAAGCUUCAGCUACACACGACCGUACCGCAAACCGACACUGGUGCGCGAGAUGAGUAUUCUAAGGCGCUUGAGAGAACUCAGGAGAAGGAACUCGGCAAAUUGACACCGUAACUUCGGAAGAAGGUGUGUCUUUAGUAUGUGAACCUGAACAAGGGGAGCAGAAUGAGGCCUCAGAGAAUCGGUGGCUGCGACUGUUUAAUAAAAACACAGCACUCUGCAAACACGAAAGUGGACGUAUAGGGUGUGACGCCUGCCCGGUGCUGGAAGAUUAAAUGAUGGGGUGCAAGCUCUUGAUUGAAGUCCCAGUAAACGGCGGCCGUAACUAUAACGGUCCUAAGGUAGCGAAAUUCCUUGUCGGGUAAGUUCCGACCUGCACGAAUGGCGUAACGAUGGCCACACUGUCUCCUCCUGAGACUCAGCGAAGUUGAAAUGUUUGUGAUGAUGCAAUCUCCCCGCGGAAAGACGGAAAGACCCCAUGAACCUUUACUGUAGCUUUGUAUUGGACUUUGAACAGAUCUGUGUAGGAUAGGUGGGAGGCUUUGAAGCCGGAACGCUAGUUUCGGUGGAGCCAACGUUGAAAUACCACCCUGGUGUGUUUGAGGUUCUAACCUAGGUCCAUUAUCUGGAUCGGAGACAGUGCAUGGUAGGCAGUUUGACUGGGGCGGUCUCCUCCCAAAGCGUAACGGAGGAGUUCGAAGGUACGCUAGUUACGGUCGGACAUCGUGAUGAUAGUGCAAUGGCAUAAGCGUGCUUAACUGCGAGACUGACAAGUCGAGCAGAUACGAAAGUAGGACAUAGUGAUCCGGUGGUUCUGUAUGGAAGGGCCAUCGCUCAACGGAUAAAAGGUACUCUGGGGAUAACAGGCUGAUACCGCCCAAGAGUUCAUAUCGACGGCGGUGUUUGGCACCUCGAUGUCGGCUCAUCUCAUCCUGGGGCUGUAGCCGGUCCCGAGGGUAUGGCUGUUCGCCAUUUAAAGAGGUACGUGAGCUGGGUUUAAAACGUCGUGAGACAGUUUGGUCCCUAUCUUCCGUGGGCGCUG
This 2111-nucleotide ribosomal RNA is filed under the name uncultured Limnohabitans sp. RNAcentral's name for it is "partial 23S ribosomal RNA". It matches the Rfam family "Bacterial large subunit ribosomal RNA", at positions 541 to 2656 of the family's 2925-position model. Lineage: Bacteria; Pseudomonadati; Pseudomonadota; Betaproteobacteria; Burkholderiales; Comamonadaceae. The record is from RNAcentral.